Molecule: ribosomal RNA, 451 nt
Filed under: uncultured bacterium
Lineage: Bacteria
Description: partial 16S ribosomal RNA
Rfam family: Bacterial small subunit ribosomal RNA
Source: RNAcentral
AGCGAACGCUGGCGGCAGGCUUAACACAUGCAAGUCGAGCGGGCAUAGCAAUAUGUCAGCGGCAGACGGGUGAGUAACGCGUGGGAACGUACCUUUUGGUUCGGAACAACACAGGGAAACUUGUGCUAAUACCGGAUAAGCCCUUACGGGGAAAGAUUUAUCGCCGAAAGAUCGGCCCGCGUCUGAUUAGCUAGUUGGUGAGGUAAUGGCUCACCAAGGCGACGAUCAGUAGCUGGUCUGAGAGGAUGAUCAGCCACAUUGGGACUGAGACACGGCCAAAACUCCUACNNNNNGCAGCAGUGNNGANNAUUGGACAAUGGGCGCAAGCCUGAUCCAGCCAUGCCGCGUGAGUGAUGAANGCNCUNGGGUUGUAAAGNUCUUUUGUGNGNGANGAUAAUGACNGUNCCGCAAGAANAAGCCCCGGCUAACUUCGUGCCAGCCGCCGCGGUAA